UACGAAGGGGGCUAGCGUUGUUCGGAAUUACUGGGCGUAAAGCGUGCGCAGGCGGUUCGUCGCGUCUGCUGUGAAAACGCGAGGCUCAACCUCGCGCCUGCAGUGGGUACGGGCAGACUAGAGUGCGGUAGGGGAGAUUGGAAUUCCUGGUGUAGCGGUGGAAUGCGCAGAUAUCAGGAGGAACACCGAUGGCGAAGGCAGGUCUCUGGGCCACUACUGACGCUGAGAAGCGAAAGCAUGGGGAGCGAACAGG
This 253-nucleotide ribosomal RNA is filed under the name uncultured bacterium. RNAcentral describes it as "partial 16S ribosomal RNA". It matches the Rfam family "Bacterial small subunit ribosomal RNA", at positions 524 to 776 of the family's 1533-position model. The record is from RNAcentral.